Molecule: ribosomal RNA, 230 nt
Filed under: uncultured bacterium
Lineage: Bacteria
Description: partial 16S ribosomal RNA
Rfam family: Bacterial small subunit ribosomal RNA
Source: RNAcentral
CGGGGUGGAGUAAUGUCUGGGAAACUGCCUGAUGGAGGGGGGUAACUACUGGAAACGGUAGCUAAUACCGCAUAACGUCGCAAGACCAAAGUGGGGGACCUUCGGGCCUCAUGCCAUCGGAUGUGCCCAGAUGGGAUUAGCUAGUAGGUGGGGUAACGGCUCACCUAGGCGACGAUCCCUAGCUGGUCUGAGAGGAUGGCCAGCCACACUGGAACUGAGACACGGUCCAG